UGGAAGGGGAAGUAGCCGCCCCCGCCGCGGCAGAGGAGGCCGAGAUCGAGUGAAGGUGCGGGUACGGGCGGCGGCACUGCCGCCGCUGCCGCAUCGUAGCCGGAGGACUCCAAGGUGCUGCUCUGACUACUGGGGCUGCCGACGGCGACGGGACUGGGGCUGCUGCAGGCGUCCGCGUAGAGGAAGUUGGUCUUGGCCUUGGGCCCGCGGAACUCGCGGGCGGCGGCGUCGUAAGCCCUGGCCGCCUCCUCGGCGGUGUCGAAGGUCCCGAGCCAGACCCGGCUCUUCUUGCCGGGAUCGCGUAUCUCCGCCGCG
Molecule: long non-coding RNA, 315 nt
Filed under: Musa acuminata (dwarf banana)
Lineage: Eukaryota; Viridiplantae; Streptophyta; Magnoliopsida; Zingiberales; Musaceae
Description: long non-coding RNA (MACU_LNC005091)
Source: RNAcentral